RNAcentral lists this ribosomal RNA (1314 nucleotides) under Triticum aestivum (bread wheat). RNAcentral's name for it is "partial small subunit ribosomal RNA". The record is from RNAcentral. Lineage: Eukaryota; Viridiplantae; Streptophyta; Magnoliopsida; Poales; Poaceae.
AUGGCCGCCAGUCCCAAGCCCCAGCUCCUCCCGGCGCUCCUCCUCCUCGCCGCUGCCGCCGCCCUUGUCGUCGCGUCCUGCCACGCGGCACGGCUACCACAGGCCGCCGGAGGUGGAGGCUUGGCGGCGGAGAAGUCGCACAGGGACGCCAGCUGCCUGGAGCUCACGCAGGUGGAGUGCCAAAUUACGCCGUGCACCAAUUACUGCUUCCGCAUCGGGCUCAACACCACGGGCUAUUGCACCUUCAAAGGCCUCAACGUCUACUGCUGCUGCCCUGUCCCGGCCGCCGACGCCGCCACCGCCGAGCUGCCGGCCUCCCUCCCCCCCUCCGGCCCUCAGGCCGAUACUACCUCGGAGAUGGAGCAGUUUACAAGCGACCUCCGGACAGGCUUCUGCGAAACAGGCUCAAACUUUCACCACACUCCACAAGGGCCAUAUGAAGACACCGUGCUAGGUCCUGAGGAUUUCCAGCAUCCAAAGGGAAGGCCAUGGACGACGCCGCUCCAGCCCUUCUCCGACGCCAUCAAGCAGGCAUCCUCCGUGGAUGAUGACGACAACCAGGGCAUCCACCGCCACGACGACACCCCGCACAUGGUCCAACUCGGCUACAACCACCUCUACCGCGCGACUGCGGCCGCGGUCGUGUUCGGCAUCGACUACAACCUCCUCUCCGGUGGAGCCACAGCCGCCACCUUCACGCUAUGCAUGCAUGCCCGUGGCCAGAUUUUCGCUGGCGUGAACAAGAUCGUGCAAAUCAGCUCGGAGAAGAAUUCACUCGAAGCCGUGCCCGUGCGUGUAGGCGGCGAGACGGAGAAGGCGGCGGACGUCGUGCCGGCGGAGACGGACCGGGCCAAGUGCGAGAUGAUGGUGCCGUGCGACGGGGAGAAGUGCACCGAGCACUGCGUCCGCAUCGGGCUGGGCAACGCGAGGGGCUUCUGCUCCUUCCACGACUUGCACUUCGAGUGCUGCUGCCCCAUGCCGCCGCCCCUGCGCGCGCGCCGCCUCUCCUCCGGCCACGUUCCCAUGGCGCCGCCUGCAAGAUCAUCGGCGCCUUUCUUCCUCCUCCUCGUUGUUCUCCUCGCCGCCGCAGGGCGCUCCGCCGGUGACGACGACGACUCUCCACCGCAGGUGCAGCCGCUGGACCCCAAGUGCCAGGAGAUGACGGAGAUGUGCACCCCGGCGACGUGCACCAAGCUCUGCCUCAGCAUAGGGCUGGGUAAAGACCCCGACGGCGGGUUCUGCACCUUCCAUGGCAUGAAGUUCUACUGCUGCUGCCCCAUACCCGCCCCCGCCCCGCCGCCCUCAAGGCUCUGA